CGUAGCGGUAGGACGGGAGUGGGACACCCACGGGUGUGCUGGAGUCUAACCAGUCUGCUAACCCACUUCCGUUCUGCCACCAUA
Molecule: non-coding RNA, 84 nt
Filed under: Acinetobacter sp. yr461
Lineage: Bacteria; Pseudomonadati; Pseudomonadota; Gammaproteobacteria; Moraxellales; Moraxellaceae
Source: RNAcentral